Long non-coding RNA from Lutra lutra (Eurasian river otter), 408 nucleotides. RefSeq lists it as uncharacterized. The record is from RefSeq and is a predicted model, not a curated record. The transcript is spliced from 3 exons. NCBI's taxonomy places the organism in Eukaryota, Metazoa, Chordata, Mammalia, Carnivora, Mustelidae.
AAAGGCCACAUCUCCUUCCAUCUCAAAAUGAGAGGGACACUGAGGAAGAUGACCAGGUCUGAUAGUGCGCAUAGUUUGGGAAAAGUCCUCUUGGCUUGGAGCACCAAAGUGAGUAUAAAAUGCUGGAUGCACCAUACAGCGUCUCUGACCCCUUGCAAUAACCGGAGGACGUAUUCAGCCACCAACUGGGGCCACAGACUCCAACGCAAACAUGAUGGGAAGCCAGGAAGGGAUGCUCAACAUACACAUUUUCUUGUUUCUUGUUUUUAAACAAGGUGAGAGAAUACUGCUUUCCCCUAAACAUCUGACCGUAAGCAGUUAUUCUCAUUUGGAAACUAGUUUCAUUUCUGUGUGCUUGGAAAUCCCACCCAUGUUACAGUUUCCCAGCUCCCUACAAAACAAUAAGUA